GCUUCAUGGGGCGCAGCCUGAUCCAGCCAUGCCGCGUGAGUGAUGAAGGCCUUAGGGUCGUAAAGCUCUUUCGCCAGAGAUGAUAAUGACAGUAUCUGGUAAAGAAACCCCGGCUAACUCCGUGCCAGCAGCCGCGGUAAUACGGAGGGGGUUAGCGUUGUUCGGAAUUACUGGGCGUAAAGCGUACGUAGGCGGAUUAGUCAGUCAGAGGUGAAAUCCCAGGGCUCAACCCUGGAACUGCCUUUGAUACUGCUAGUCUUGAGUUCGAGAGAGGUGAGUGGAAUUCCAAGUGUAGAGGUGAAAUUCGUAGAUAUUUGGAGGAACACCAGUGGCGAAGGCGGCUCACUGGCUCGAUACUGACGCUGAGGUACGAAAGUGUGGGGAGCAAACAGGAUUAGAUACCCUGGUAGUCCACACCGUAAACGAUGAAUGCCAGUCGUCGGGCAGUAUACUGUUCGGUGACACACCUAACGGAUUAAGCAUUCCGCCUGGGGAGUACGGUCGCAAGAUUAAAACUCAAAGGAAAUUGACGGA
This 534-nucleotide ribosomal RNA is filed under the name uncultured bacterium. RNAcentral describes it as "bacterial SSU rRNA". It matches the Rfam family "Bacterial small subunit ribosomal RNA", at positions 366 to 917 of the family's 1533-position model. The record is from RNAcentral.